This 540-nucleotide ribosomal RNA is filed under the name uncultured bacterium. RNAcentral describes it as "bacterial SSU rRNA". It matches the Rfam family "Bacterial small subunit ribosomal RNA", at positions 355 to 896 of the family's 1533-position model. The record is from RNAcentral.
UGAGGAAUAUUGGUCAAUGGACGUAAGUCUGAACCAGCCAAGUAGCGUGCAGGAAGACGGCCCUAUGGGUUGUAAACUGCUUUUGUAUGGGGAUAAAGUCAAUCACGUGUGAUUGUUUGCAGGUACCAUACGAAUAAGGACCGGCUAAUUCCGUGCCAGCAGCCGCGGUAAUACGGAAGGUUCGGGCGUUAUCCGGAUUUAUUGGGUUUAAAGGGAGCGUAGGCCGGAGAUUAAGUGUGUUGUGAAAUGUAGACGCUCAACGUCUGACUUGCAGCGCAUACUGGUUUCCUUGAGUACGCACAACGUUGGCGGAAUUCGUCGUGUAGCGGUGAAAUGCUUAGAUAUGACGAAGAACUCCGAUUGCGAAGGCAGCUGACGGGAGCGCAACUGACGCUGAAGCUCGAAGGUGCGGGUAUCGAACAGGAUUAGAUACCCUGGUAGUCCGCACAGUAAACGAUGGAUGCCCGCUGUUGGUACCUAGUAUCAGCGGCUAAGCGAAAGCAUUAAGCAUCCCACCUGGGGAGUACGCCGGCAACGGUG